AAUCUUCCUCUCAACCAUUUUUGGUAUGAGGUCUUGCUCCUUUUAGGAGUUAAAAUCAUGGAAGUGCACACGUUAAUUAACUCUGUGCAGUUAUACACUUUUCAUCCUCCAAUCAAGCAAGGUUACCCGCUGAACUUAAGCAUAUCAAUAAGCGGAGGAAAAGAAACCAACAGGGAUUGCCCUAGUAACGGCGAGUGAACAGGCAAGAGCUCAGAUUUGAAAGGCACUUUUGUGCCGUUGUAUUCUGAAGUUAGGGUCCUGAGAAACGAUGCUUAAGUCUUCUGGAAAGGAGCGCCAUGGAGGGUGAUAGCCCCGUCUAGCAUUGACCUCAUAUAGGAUCUUAACAUGGAGUCGAGUUGUUUGGGAAUGCAGCUCAAAUGGGUGGUAUGCUCCAUCUAAAGCUAAAUAUCUGCGAGAGACCGAUAGUAAACAAGUACUGUGAGGGAAAGAUGAAAAGAACUUUGAAAAGAGAGUGAAAAAGUACGUGAAAUUGUUGAAAUGGAAGGGUAGGCCGCUAACCAUGUAGAGCCGUGUUUGGGGGGAAGAUAAAUGCUGUAGAAUGUAGCUCCUCGGAGUAUUAUAGAUGCAGUUCAUAUUCCCACCCGAGCGCGAGGAUCUCAGGUUCUACUAAAUGGUGGUCUACCACCCGUCUUGAAACACGGACCAAGGAGUCUAUUGUCUGCGCGAGUA
Molecule: ribosomal RNA, 690 nt
Filed under: Starmerella bacillaris
Lineage: Eukaryota; Fungi; Ascomycota; Dipodascomycetes; Dipodascales; Trichomonascaceae
Description: LSU rRNA
Rfam family: Eukaryotic large subunit ribosomal RNA (bases 103-690)
Source: RNAcentral